GUAGGUGGCAAGCGUUGUCCGGAAUUACUGGGUGUAAAGGGAGCGUAGGCGGGGAGGCAAGUUGAAUGUCUAAACUAUCGGCUCAACUGAUAGUCGCGUUCAAAACUGCCACUCUUGAGUGCAGUAGAGGUAGGCGGAAUUCCUAGUGUAGCGGUGAAAUGCGUAGAUAUCACGAAGAACUCCGAUUGCGAAGGCAGCUCACUGGACUGCAACUGACACUGAUGCUCGAAAGUGUGGGUAUCAAACAGGAUUAGAUACCCUGGUAGUCCACACAGUAAACGAUGAAUACUCGCUGUUUGCGAUAUACAGUAAGCGGCCAAGCGAAAGCAUUAAGUAUUCCACCUGGGGAGUACGCCGGCAACGGUGAAACUCAAAGGAAUUGACG
This 385-nucleotide ribosomal RNA is filed under the name uncultured bacterium. RNAcentral's name for it is "bacterial SSU rRNA". It matches the Rfam family "Bacterial small subunit ribosomal RNA", at positions 527 to 915 of the family's 1533-position model. The record is from RNAcentral.